RNAcentral lists this long non-coding RNA (380 nucleotides) under Athene cunicularia (burrowing owl). Its description in RNAcentral is "lncRNA (ENSACUG00000012588.1)". The record is from RNAcentral. Lineage: Eukaryota; Metazoa; Chordata; Aves; Strigiformes; Strigidae.
CAGGAGCAGGUCUCAGGGGUGGCAAAGGCUUCUUGGUCCCUUGUCAGGCAGCAGGGUUGAGACCGACGAUUUGACAUGUGCAGGUGAAUGUGCUGGUGGAGUUUCUGAUGGAGAACUGCAGGGAGCUCUUUGAAGAGGAAAUGGGCAGCCUUUCCAGCACAGCAGACAAGGAGCUGCCAGCCCCCCUGGAGAGAUUCAGAGAUCUGUGUUUGAAAGACAAAAGUGUCUCUGCAAGCAGAGAAGACACAGAGCACCAGGAAAAAACCUUUCUGGAUGCAUCCACCUCUCCACUGGACAUCCUCAGACAAGCUGGGGAAGACAUGGAGCUGGAGUCUGAAAAAGGAGAGGUCUAUUUAGGGGUCAGCAGGGGGACUGUGUGA